CUGUAAAUUUCGACAUACUAAAACGCUGUUUUCUGACUAUCAGAAUUCUGUUAAAUCUUCCCCCAAAGUCCAGGAAAUGGUAUUUUAGAGACUCUAAAUUUAAAAAUUUCCUCGGGCCUUCGGCCCUCGCUUUCAUCCCCCCCAAUCGAAAAGAGCUUCCUACGGCCCUGUUAUGCCGUUGAAUGUAUUUGGCGUAACCAUUCAACUUGGAAGAUAGUUGACUGUUGAUG
Molecule: non-coding RNA, 230 nt
Organism: Paramuricea clavata
Lineage: Eukaryota; Metazoa; Cnidaria; Anthozoa; Malacalcyonacea; Plexauridae
Source: the annotation of a GenBank genome assembly